CGAAGGUGGGCUAAUCACGGUUGGACAUCGUGAGGUUAGUGCAAUGGCAUAAGCCCGCUUAACUGCGAGAAUGACGGUUCGAGCAGGUGCGAAAGCAGGUCAUAGUGAUCCGGUGGUUCUGUAUGGAAGGGCCAUCGCUCAACGGAUAAAAGGUACUCCGGGGAUAACAGGCUGAUACCGCCCAAGAGUUCAUAUCGACGGCGGUGUUUGGCACCUCGAUGUCGGCUCAUCACAUCCUGGGGCUGAAGUCGGUCCCAAGGGUAUGGCUGUUCGCCAUUUAAAGUGGUACGCGAGCUGGGUUUAGAACGUCGUGAGACAGUUCGGUCCCUAUCUGCCGUGGGCGUUGGAAGAUUGAAGGGGGCUGCUCCUAGUACGAGAGGACCGGAGUGGACGAACCUCUGGUGUUCGGGUUGUGUCGCCAGACGCAUUGCCCGGUAGCUAAGUUCGGAAUCGAUAACCGCUGAAAGCAUCUAAGCGGGAAGCGAGCCCUGAGAUGAGUCUUCCCUGAUACUUUAAGUAUCCUAAAGGGUUGUUCGAGACUAGAACGUUGAUAGGCAGGGUGUGUAAGCGUUGUGAGGCGUUGAGCUAACCUGUACUAAUUGCCCGUGAGGCUUAACCAU
RNAcentral lists this ribosomal RNA (620 nucleotides) under Vibrio mimicus VM223. RNAcentral's name for it is "bacterial LSU rRNA". It matches the Rfam family "Bacterial large subunit ribosomal RNA", at positions 2311 to 2925 of the family's 2925-position model. The record is from RNAcentral. Lineage: Bacteria; Pseudomonadati; Pseudomonadota; Gammaproteobacteria; Vibrionales; Vibrionaceae.